CAGCCGCCGCGGUAAUACGUAGGGUGCGAGCGUUAAUCGGAAUUACUGGGCGUAAAGCGUGCGCAGGCGGUUAUAUAAGACAGAUGUGAAAUCCCCGGGCUCAACCUGGGACCUGCAUUUGUGACUGUAUAGCUAGAGUACGGUAGAGGGGGAUGGAAUUCCGCGUGUAGCAGUGAAAUGCGUAGAUAUGCGGAGGAACACCGAUGGCGAAGGCAAUCCCCUGGACCUGUACUGACGCUCAUGCACGAAAGCGUGGGGAGCAAACAGGAUUAGAUACCCGAGUAGUCCCUGUCUCUUAUAC
This 301-nucleotide ribosomal RNA is filed under the name uncultured bacterium. Its description in RNAcentral is "partial 16S ribosomal RNA". It matches the Rfam family "Bacterial small subunit ribosomal RNA", at positions 509 to 807 of the family's 1533-position model. The record is from RNAcentral.